AAGCGGGAAGAGCUCAAAUUUAAAAUCUGGCGUGCCUUUGGUCGUCCGAGUUGUAGUCUGGAGAAGCGUUUUCCGUGCUGGACCGUGUACAAGUCCCUUGGAACAGGGCGUCGUAGAGGGUGAGAAUCCCGUCUUUGACACGGACUACCAGUGCUCUGUGAUGCGCUCUCGAAGAGUCGAGUUGUUUGGGAAUGCAGCUCAAAAUGGGUGGUAAAUUCCAUCUAAAGCUAAAUACAGGCGAGAGACCGAUAGCGAACAAGUACCGUGAGGGAAAGAUGAAAAGCACUUUGGAAAGAGAGUUAAACAGUACGUGAAAUUGCUGAAAGGGAAACGCUUGAAGUCAGUCGCGUCUGCCAGGACUCAGCCUCGCUUCUUGCUUGGUGCACUUUCUGGUUGACGGGCCAGCAUCGAUUUUGACUGUCGGAGAAGGGUGGAGGGAAUGUGGCACCUUCGGGUGUGUUUAUAGCCCUCCUCCGUAUGCGACGGCUGGGAUCGAGGACUGCGGCACGCCUUCAUGGCCGGGGGGUUCGCCCCACGUUUAACCGUGCUUAAGAUGCUGGGCUUUAAUGGCUUUAAGCGACCCGUCUUGAAACACGGACCAAGGAGUCUAACAUGCCUGCGAGUGUUUGGGUGGAAAACCCGAGCGCGUAAUGAAAGUGAUAGUUGAGACCUCUGUCAGGGAGGGCAUCGACGCCCGGACUUGAUCUACGGAGACGGUUCCGCGGUGGAGCAUGUAUGUUGGGACCCGAAAGAUGGUGAACUAUGCCUGAAUAGGGUGAAGCCAGAGGAAACUCUGGUGGAGGCUCGUAGCGAUUCUGACGUGCAAAUCGAUCGUCAAAUUUGGG
RNAcentral lists this ribosomal RNA (845 nucleotides) under Lenzitopsis daii. RNAcentral describes it as "LSU rRNA". It matches the Rfam family "Eukaryotic large subunit ribosomal RNA", at positions 96 to 915 of the family's 3401-position model. The record is from RNAcentral. Lineage: Eukaryota; Fungi; Basidiomycota; Agaricomycetes; Thelephorales; Thelephoraceae.